RNAcentral lists this ribosomal RNA (254 nucleotides) under uncultured bacterium. RNAcentral describes it as "partial 16S ribosomal RNA". It matches the Rfam family "Bacterial small subunit ribosomal RNA", at positions 524 to 776 of the family's 1533-position model. The record is from RNAcentral.
GACAGAGGUGCCGAGCGUUAGGCGGAAUCACUGGGCUUAAAGCGUGUGUAGGCGGAUCGUUAAGUACCUUGUGAAAUCCCACGGCUCAACCGUGGAACGGCUGGGUAUACUGGCGAUCUUGAGCGAUUCAGGGGCAGAUGGAACAAGUGGUGGAGCGGUGGAAAUGCGUAGAUAUCACUUGGAACGCCAAAGGUGAAGACAGUCUGCUGGGAAUCUGCUGACGCUGAGACACGAAAGCCAGGGGAGCGAACGGG